CUUAUAUUGUACAUGCCGGCUUGCCGGCUAUGGCGAUAAACGGCUUGUGUAAUAAGCACAGUGGACCCGGGGGCAGUACCCGGCGCCUCCACCAAAUUUCCGUUUUCGCCGGUAUCCUGCGGGAUCCGGCGCACGGUAUGGGGGCGAAAUAGGAUCGACACGUGUCUAAAGACAGGUUUUUUGCCCGGUAUGGUACCGCCGUUAGCGGGCCGUUUUUACAAGUGCCAAUGAUAACGAUUUGGCCCUCGCUGCCUAAUUAUUAGGUAAGCGCGGUUCGGAGGGACGCCGGGCAACAGAAGUCCCUCCACU
Molecule: transfer-messenger RNA, 309 nt
Filed under: Rhodospirillaceae bacterium
Lineage: Bacteria; Pseudomonadati; Pseudomonadota; Alphaproteobacteria; Rhodospirillales; Rhodospirillaceae
Rfam family: Alphaproteobacteria transfer-messenger RNA
About the family: Bacterial tmRNA, also known as 10Sa RNA or SsrA, is named for its dual tRNA and mRNA-like properties. Its role is to liberate the mRNA from a stalled ribosome.
Source: RNAcentral